RNAcentral lists this ribosomal RNA (762 nucleotides) under uncultured bacterium. RNAcentral's name for it is "bacterial SSU rRNA". It matches the Rfam family "Bacterial small subunit ribosomal RNA", at positions 28 to 776 of the family's 1533-position model. The record is from RNAcentral.
AUUGAACGCUGGCGGCAGGCUUAACACAUGCAAGUCGAACGGUAACAGGAAGAAAGCUUGCUUUCUUUGCUGACGAGUGGCGGACGGGUGAGUAAUGCUUGGGAAUCUGUUUCAUGGAGGGGGAUAACUACGGGAAACUGUAGCUAAUACCGCGUAAUAUCGAGAGAUUAAAUGUGUGGGACCGCAAGGCCACAUGCCAUGAAGUGAGCCCAAGUGGGAUUAGAUAGUUGGUGAGGUAAUGGCUCACCAAGUCGGCGAUCUCUAGCUGGUCUGAGAGGAUGACCAGCCACACUGGGACUGAGACACGGCCCAGACUCCUACGGGAGGCAGCAGUGGGGAAUAUUGCACAAUGGGCGCAAGCCUGAUGCAGCCAUGCCGCGUGAAUGAAGAAGGCCUUCGGGUUGUAAAGUUCUUUCGGUGGUGAGGAAGGUUGGCGUGUUAAUAGCACGUUGAUUUGACGUUAGCCACAGAAGAAGCACCGGCUAACUCCGUGCCAGCAGCCGCGGUAAUACGGAGGGUGCGAGCGUUAAUCGGAAUAACUGGGCGUAAAGGGCACGCAGGCGGUGACUUAAGUGAGGUGUGAAAGCCCUGGGCUUAACCUAGGAAUUGCAUUUCAUACUGGGUCGCUAGAGUAUUUUAGGGAGGGGUAGAAUUCCACGUGUAGCGGUGAAAUGCGUAGAGAUGUGGAGGAAUACCGAAGGCGAAGGCAGCCCCUUGGGAAUAUACUGACGCUCAUGUGCGAAAGCGUGGGGAGCAAACAGG